This 885-nucleotide ribosomal RNA is filed under the name Enterococcus sp. MNC2. Its description in RNAcentral is "bacterial SSU rRNA". It matches the Rfam family "Bacterial small subunit ribosomal RNA", at positions 57 to 913 of the family's 1533-position model. The record is from RNAcentral. Lineage: Bacteria; Bacillati; Bacillota; Bacilli; Lactobacillales; Enterococcaceae.
GCAGUCGUACGCUUCUUUUUCCACCGGAGCUUGCUCCACCGGAAAAAGAAGAGUGGCGAACGGGUGAGUAACACGUGGGUAACCUGCCCAUCAGAAGGGGAUAACACUUGGAAACAGGUGCUAAUACCGUAUAACAAUCGAAACCGCAUGGUUUUGAUUUGAAAGGCGCUUUCGGGUGUCGCUGAUGGAUGGACCCGCGGUGCAUUAGCUAGUUGGUGAGGUAACGGCUCACCAAGGCCACGAUGCAUAGCCGACCUGAGAGGGUGAUCGGCCACAUUGGGACUGAGACACGGCCCAAACUCCUACGGGAGGCAGCAGUAGGGAAUCUUCGGCAAUGGACGAAAGUCUGACCGAGCAACGCCGCGUGAGUGAAGAAGGUUUUCGGAUCGUAAAACUCUGUUGUUAGAGAAGAACAAGGAUGAGAGUAACUGUUCAUCCCUUGACGGUAUCUAACCAGAAAGCCACGGCUAACUACGUGCCAGCAGCCGCGGUAAUACGUAGGUGGCAAGCGUUGUCCGGAUUUAUUGGGCGUAAAGCGAGCGCAGGCGGUUUCUUAAGUCUGAUGUGAAAGCCCCCGGCUCAACCGGGGAGGGUCAUUGGAAACUGGGAGACUUGAGUGCAGAAGAGGAGAGUGGAAUUCCAUGUGUAGCGGUGAAAUGCGUAGAUAUAUGGAGGAACACCAGUGGCGAAGGCGGCUCUCUGGUCUGUAACUGACGCUGAGGCUCGAAAGCGUGGGGAGCAAACAGGAUUAGAUACCCUGGUAGUCCACGCCGUAAACGAUGAGUGCUAAGUGUUGGAGGGUUUCCGCCCUUCAGUGCUGCAGCUAACGCAUUAAGCACUCCGGCCUGGGGGAGUACGACCGCAAGGUUGAAACUCAAGAAUUGA